Anopheles stephensi (Asian malaria mosquito) is the source of this 1749-nucleotide RNA transcript. RefSeq lists it as uncharacterized. The record is from RefSeq and is a predicted model, not a curated record. The transcript is spliced from 4 exons. Lineage: Eukaryota; Metazoa; Arthropoda; Insecta; Diptera; Culicidae.
CAUCGUUCGUCACUCAACGAAUGGUAGGCCGGUUGGAUAUAUGGCUGCGUCUCACUGUUUGUGCGUGGCCAGCGCAGUCUGUUCCGCUCUUUUGUGUCUUGUCUCGGGCUCUGUUAGAUGUUCGUGUGUGCGUGUGUGCAGGUUGAUGAUAUUUGUGCUUCGGAUACAAAGGCGCAUCUAUAGCGACAACUUGCCCUCCUGGCAACCCCUCCGGAGUGCUGGCGAUCAGAUGAUUUUUAAUUUUCCACCCUGGUUUUGUCGCGUUCCGCGCCAGACAAAGAAAAUCCCCGUGCGCCCGGCUGGAAACGGAGCCACCAUCAUCAAUCAAUCAUUUUCCAUAAGCAAAAUGGAGCGUAGUCGUAAGCCACAAAGAAACACAAAGAAACUCAUUGAAGCUAACUGCGAGAAAUGUGUGCUUUGACUCUGUAUGUGUGCGUGUGUGUGUGUGUGUUUUUCUACGAAAGACCACUUGAGCCACCCCUUUCCAUUUUUAUUUAUAUUUGUGUGUAUGUGUGUGUAAAUGUGCAAGUAGGCCGCUGUGAAACCGAAACAAGGCACGGAAAAACGGGAAAAACCACCUUAAACCCGUGAUUUGUUUUUCCGUUUAAUUUUUGUCCAAAACUUUGGGUACCAUUAUGGUUAAGUGGAGGGGGAAAAAGGUGAAGAAGCAGGGCUUUUUAGUGUGUGACAACAACAUACAGCGACAGCAACUAAUGCGUACAGAGAGCGAGGCACACAGACACAUACACACCUACACACUCGGAGGAGCUACAUUUUAAUCAUUUCAGCUCACAGUUCGUGGGUAAAAAUGGCAACAAAGUGCUACAAUUUUAAGUGGUUUUUCGGUCGGGAUUUUCGUUUGCCUCUUCAGAAAUCAAUAACGACCCGCAAGGGAGGUGAGGAUAGGAAGAGUGAGAGUUCGGGAAGCGAGGAGGAGAGAAAACUCAUGCAAGUUGUGGAUGCUGCGUCAUGCUUUUUUCUUUGUUUGUUGGACGAGCGUGGAGAUGGAUUGGAAAGAGCCCCCCGCGCCCCCCCCCCCCUCCGUUGGUGGACAUUCCGGUGCUAAAGCCUGCCUCACAACCUGCUCAACAAUUAAACCGUUGUUAGAUGGCCGUUGGUGACGAUGCGAAUGGUGGUGGUGAUCGUGUGGUGGUCGCCCAACAUUGUCUUGUGCCGGAGGAGCAACUCAAGUUCUUAACAAAUUUAAAUUAUUAUUAAUGUUUCAUUAACGUCAACGGUUGUGCCUAGCGUGAACUCACAGUGUUGGUUAAGAUUACCGACAAUUCCUCAAUGUGCUCACAGAAAAAUCGACGCUACCAUCAGGAUCCAGGAACACUAUCUCGCAGCAACACACAUAACAUGGACCGGAGGAGCCAGACACCAGAGGGGUUUGAUAAAUUUACCUUGUUCAAACAUUGACUCAACUUCUUAGCCUUUUCUCUCUCGACUGUACGGUACAAAAAUAGCGUUCUACCAGAGCAGAUUCCUCUACCAGAUUGUAUUAAAAAGCAACCAGUCGAGAGAUCGGAUUGGGCUUGUUUUUGGACCUUUGGUAAGAUUAGGGCUAGUUAUAGGAAUAAGAUAAAUAGACUUCAGAAUUCUUUGUAAAACUCAUGUGGCUAACAAGAUCUUUUUAUACAAAUACAAAAAACGAGCAGCAGCAAAAAAAGAAUUGGAAAAAAUAAAGCGCAAAAUGUCUUCUUUCACGACUCGAUAUAAAUAAACUAUUUUGUUCCUCUUGUUUUCCAA